AGUGAACGCUGGCGGUAGGCCUAACACAUGCAAGUCGAACGGCAGCACAGUAAGAGCUUGCUCUUACGGGUGGCGAGUGGCGGACGGGUGAGGAAUACAUCGGAAUCUACUUUUUCGUGGGGGAUAACGUAGGGAAACUUACGCUAAUACCGCAUACGACCUACGGGUGAAAGCAGGGGAUCUUCGGACCUUGCGCGAUUGAAUGAGCCGAUGUCGGAUUAGCUAGUUGGCGGGGUAAAGGCCCACCAAGGCGACGAUCCGUAGCUGGUCUGAGAGGGUGAACGGAGACAUUGGGACUAAGAGAGGGAGCAGAAAGAUAUGGGAGGCAGCAGGGGGGAAGAUGACACAGAGAGCGGAAGACGGAUGCAGAAACGUUGCGAAAGAGAAGAAGGAUUUCGGGUUGUAAACCGCUUUAGGUUAAAAAGAAGCGAGAGUGACGGUAAUAGGUAAAGAAGCACCGGCUAACUACGUG
This 472-nucleotide ribosomal RNA is filed under the name uncultured bacterium. RNAcentral describes it as "partial 16S ribosomal RNA". It matches the Rfam family "Bacterial small subunit ribosomal RNA", at positions 30 to 507 of the family's 1533-position model. The record is from RNAcentral.